This 471-nucleotide ribosomal RNA is filed under the name Salmonella enterica subsp. enterica. Its description in RNAcentral is "partial 23S ribosomal RNA". The stretch from base 1 to 366 matches the Rfam family "Bacterial large subunit ribosomal RNA", at positions 161 to 565 of the family's 2925-position model. Lineage: Bacteria; Pseudomonadati; Pseudomonadota; Gammaproteobacteria; Enterobacterales; Enterobacteriaceae. The record is from RNAcentral. RNAcentral also lists the same sequence under 1 other name.
AAUCCAUAGGUUAAUGAGGCGAACCGGGGGAACUGAAACAUCUAAGUACCCCGAGGAAAAGAAAUCAACCGAGAUUCCCCCAGUAGCGGCGAGCGAACGGGGAGGAGCCCAGAGCCUGAAUCAGCAUGUGUGUUAGUGGAAGCGUCUGGAAAGGCGCGCGAUACAGGGUGACAGCCCCGUACACAAAAGCGCAUGUGCUGUGAGCUCGAUGAGUAGGGCGGGACACGUGGUAUCCUGUCUGAAUAUGGGGGGACCAUCCUCCAAGGCUAAAUACUCCUGACUGACCGAUAGUGAACCAGUACCGUGAGGGAAAGGCGAAAAGAACCCCGGCGAGGGGAGUGAAAAAGAACCUGAAACCGUGUACGUACAAGCAGUGGGAGCCCCACCACCAAAGCAUUUGCUGUACCGCGUUGACGGAGCGAAGCGACGUCAAACCGAUAAAACAGCAGUGUAAAGUGAGCCGCAGGGCGC